This 490-nucleotide ribosomal RNA is filed under the name uncultured soil bacterium. RNAcentral's name for it is "bacterial SSU rRNA". It matches the Rfam family "Bacterial small subunit ribosomal RNA", at positions 26 to 518 of the family's 1533-position model. The record is from RNAcentral.
AGGACGAACGCUGGCGGCGUGCUUAACACAUGCAAGUCGAGCGGAAAGGCCUUUCGGGGUACUCGAGCGGCGAACGGGUGAGUAACACGUGAGUAAUCUGCCCAUCGCUUCAGGAUAGCCAUCGGAAACGGUGAUUAAUACUGGAUAUGACAUUCCUUCGCAUGUUGGGGUGUGGAAAGUUUUUUCGGCGGUGGAUGUGCUCGCGGCCUAUCAGCUUGUUGGUGGGGUAAUGGCCUACCAAGGCUUUGACGGGUAGCCGGCCUGAGAGGGUGACCGGCCACACUGGGACUGAGACACGGCCCAGACUCCUACGGGAGGCAGCAGUGGGGAAUAUUGGACAAUGGGCGGAAGCCUGAUCCAGCAACGCCGCGUGAGGGAUGACGGCCUUCUGGUUGUAAACCUCUUUCAGCACAGACGAAGUUUUGCUUUUUUUGGGUGAAGUGACGGUAUGUGCAGAAGAAGGACCGGACAACUACGUGCCAGCAGCCGC